CGGAACGUGCCCAGUAGCGGGGGAUAACUACGCGAAAGCGUAGCUAAUACCGCAUACGCCCUACGGGGGAAAGGGGGGGAUCGUAAGACCUCUCACUAUUGGAGCGGCCGAUAUCGGAUUAGCUAGUUGGUGGGGUAAAGGCUCACCAAGGCGACGAUCCGUAGCUGGUUUGAGAGGACGACCAGCCACACUGGGACUGAGACACGGCCCAGACUCCUACGGGAGGCAGCAGUGGGGAAUUUUGGACAAUGGGGGAAACCCUGAUCCAGCCAUUCCGCGUGUGCGAUGAAGGCCUUCGGGUUGUAAAGCACUUUUGGCGGGAAAGAAAUCGGUCGGGCUAAUACCCUGACCGGAUGACGGUACCCGCAGAAUAAGCACCGGCUAACUACGUGCCAGCAGCCGCGGUAAUACGUAGGGUGCAAGCGUUAAUCGGAAUUACUGGGCGUAAAGCGUGCGCAGGCGGUUCGGAAAGAAAGAUGUGAAAUCCCAGGGCUCAACCUUGGAACUGCAUUUUUAACUACCGGGCUAGAGUGUGUCAGAGGGAGGUGGAAUUCCGCGU
This 559-nucleotide ribosomal RNA is filed under the name uncultured bacterium. RNAcentral's name for it is "bacterial SSU rRNA". It matches the Rfam family "Bacterial small subunit ribosomal RNA", at positions 119 to 674 of the family's 1533-position model. The record is from RNAcentral.